CACGGGGGGAGCAAGCGUUGUUCGGAAUCACUGGGCGUAAAGGGCGUGUAGGCGGUCAGGUAAGUGAGAUGUGAAAUGCCCCGGCUCACCCGGGGACCGGCAUCUCAUACUGCUUGGCUUGAGUACGGGAGAGGAUGUGGGAAUUCCUGGUGUAGCGGUGAAAUGCGUAGAUAUCAGGAGGAACACCGGUGGCGAAGGCGACAUCCUGGACCAACACUGACGCUGAGGAGCGAAAGCCAGGGGAGCAAACGGG
RNAcentral lists this ribosomal RNA (253 nucleotides) under uncultured bacterium. RNAcentral's name for it is "partial 16S ribosomal RNA". It matches the Rfam family "Bacterial small subunit ribosomal RNA", at positions 524 to 776 of the family's 1533-position model. The record is from RNAcentral.